Molecule: long non-coding RNA, 668 nt
Organism: Rhagoletis zephyria (snowberry fruit fly)
Lineage: Eukaryota; Metazoa; Arthropoda; Insecta; Diptera; Tephritidae
Source: RefSeq, a predicted model, not a curated record
GUAUGGCAUCCGUCGGCAGUGCUAGCGGCAGCGAUGACGACCACCGCGAAGUUUCACGAAAUUUUGUUAAGCUUCAGCAAUAGCGCGUCGACGAUAAAACGCUACGGGCGUUUUCCGAACGAGUACUACGUCAACGAUGAUGAGAUGACGAACGUGCUCAGAGCAACCGAAGCUAACAAGUUACUGUGGCUAAGAACAGUGCACGCUGGAGCAUUCGGACACUGCAUUGGAGUACGCAACACAAGUGCAAAGUACCUACACCGUCGUGUAAGCGUAAGCCGGAAAAUUACUCAUAAGCGAGCAACGACCGACGACCAACCGAGAUAUAGGGUAGACCAACCAUAAGCCAAAGCCAGCCGCCAAGUCGCUACGACCGCGGGUUGUUGACGCUGCUGGGAAGAAAGUGUAUGCUUUUUACGAGUCAUAAAUCACACGCUGAGUGCCAUUGGAACGUAGUGUAUGCAUUCAGCUGCGCAGGACAUUUCCAGCACAGUAAUGGCGGCCAGCCAACGACCAGCAACAUAACAUGUCAUCGGCAACAACGACGCAAACCCGGCAAGGACGACGACCAAGAGGAUGUGAAUGCAACCGCAAAAACAUGCAACAACAUAAUGACCAUCUUAGGAGAGCCCUGAACGGUGGGGUUUUUUAAUGUAUAUACACAAUAA